This 71-nucleotide transfer RNA is filed under the name Danio rerio (zebrafish). It matches the Rfam family "tRNA". From Rfam's summary of the family: Transfer RNA (tRNA) molecules are approximately 80 nucleotides in length. Their secondary structure includes four short double-helical elements and three loops (D, anti-codon, and T loops). Lineage: Eukaryota; Metazoa; Chordata; Actinopteri; Cypriniformes; Danionidae. The record is from Rfam by way of RNAcentral.
GCAUUGGUGGUUCAGUGGUAGAAAUCUUGCCUCCCAUGCGGGGGAGCCGUGUCCGAUUCCCGGCCAAUGCA